This 483-nucleotide ribosomal RNA is filed under the name uncultured bacterium. Its description in RNAcentral is "partial 16S ribosomal RNA". It matches the Rfam family "Bacterial small subunit ribosomal RNA", at positions 30 to 506 of the family's 1533-position model. The record is from RNAcentral.
AUUGAACGCUGGCGGCAGGCCUAACACAUGCAAGUCGAGCGGAUGAAGGGAGCUUGCUCCUGGAUUCAGCGGCGGACGGGUGAGUAAUGCCUAGGAAUCUGCCUGGUAGUGGGGGAUAACGUCCGGAAACGGGCGCUAAUACCGCAUACGUCCUGAGGGAGAAAGUGGGGGAUCUUCGGACCUCACGCUAUCAGAUGAGCCUAGGUCGGAUUAGCUAGUUGGUGGGGUAAAGGCCUACCAAGGCGACGAUCCGUAACUGGUCUGAGAGGAUGAUCAGUCACACUGGAACUGAGACACGGUCCAGACUCCGACGGGAGGCAGCAGUGGGGAAUAUUGGACAAUGGGCGAAAGCCUGAUCCAGCCAUGCCGCGUGUGUGAAGAAGGUCUGCGGAUUGUAAAGCACUUUAAGUUGGGAGGAAGGGCAGUAAGUUAAUACCUUGCUGUUUUGACGUUACCAACAGAAUAAGCACCGGCUAACUUCGU